This 448-nucleotide ribosomal RNA is filed under the name uncultured bacterium. RNAcentral's name for it is "partial 16S ribosomal RNA". It matches the Rfam family "Bacterial small subunit ribosomal RNA", at positions 329 to 793 of the family's 1533-position model. The record is from RNAcentral.
CGCCAGACUCCUACGGGAGGCAGCAGUGGGGAAUAUUGCACAAUGGGGGAAACCCUGAUGCAGCGACGCCGCGUGAGCGAUGAAGUAUUUCGGUAUGUAAAGCUCUAUCAGCAGGGAAGAAAAUGACGGUACCUGACUAAGAAGCCCCGGCUAACUACGUGCCAGCAGCCGCGGUAAUACGUAGGGGGCAAGCGUUAUCCGGAUUUACUGGGUGUAAAGGGAGCGUAGACGGCAAUGCAAGCCAGAUGUGAAAGCCCGGGGCUCAACCCCGGGACUGCAUUUGGAACUGUGUAGCUGGAGUGUCGGAGAGGCAGGCGGAAUUCCUAGUGUAGCGGUGAAAUGCGUAGAUAUUAGGAGGAACACCAGUGGCGAAGGCGGCCUGCUGGACGAUGACUGACGUUGAGGCUCGAAAGCGUGGGGAGCAAACAGGAUUAGAUACCCCAGUAUG